Camelus dromedarius (Arabian camel) is the source of this 2101-nucleotide RNA transcript. It is a transcript of the gene named fuzzy planar cell polarity protein, with no coding region annotated. Lineage: Eukaryota; Metazoa; Chordata; Mammalia; Artiodactyla; Camelidae. The transcript is spliced from 11 exons. The record is from RefSeq and is a predicted model, not a curated record.
GGGGCGGAAGAGAACCUAACGGCGAUUGGGGGAGGUGCUGGAAAAGGGGUUGGGGGUAGUUUGAGUCGGAUGAGGAAGGCGGGAAUCUAAUCCUCUUCCAAUCAGCUCCCCAUCCCGCCCUUUGGCGGCUUCAUACCGCAACCUGACUUAGUAUGACUGCAGGCAUGCUCCUAGGCGGACACUGACUGUCUCCACGAGGGGACUGGGAGGCGGGGGUUCCAAAUGGGGGAGGAGGGAGCCGAAGGCACCGUGCACCUGCUGUGCCUCGCAGCAUCCAGCGGGGUCCCCCUGUUUUGCAGGAGCAGCCGCGGCGGCGCCCACGCCCGCCAACAGCUCCCGUUCUCUGUCAUCGGCUCCCUCAAUGGAGUCCACAUGUUUGGGCAGAAUCUCGAGGUGCAACUGAGCUCUGCGAGGACGGAGGAUACAAUCGUGGUGUGGAAAAGCUUCCAUGACAGCAUCACCCUUAUUGUUCUGUCAUCUGAGGAGGGGACCUCGGAGCUGAGGCUGGAGAGACUACUCCAGAUGGUGUUUGGGGCUAUGGUUCUUCUUGUGGGACUUGAAGAACUGACCAAUAUCUGCAACGUAGAGAGACUGAAGAAGGAGCUGAGGGCCAGUUACCGCCUCAUUGACAGCUUCCUGGGGGACUCAGAGCUUAUUGGGGACCUGACCCAGUGUGUGGACUGUGUGGUUCCUCCAGAGGGGUCCCUGCUGCAGGAAGCGGUCUCUGGGUUUGCCGAAGCCGCGGGCACCGCCUUCGUCAGCCUGGUCGUGUCGGGCCGGGUGGUGACAGCAACUGAGAGCUGGUGGCGGCUGGGGAUGCCGGAGGCAGUGCUGCUCCCUUGGCUGGUGGGGUCUCUGCCGCCGCAGGCCGCUCGCGACUACCCGGUGUACCUGCCGCACGGGAGCCCCACGGUUCCUCACCGGCUUCUGACUCUGACACUCCUGCCGGACUUAGAGCUGUGUCUGCUCUGUGGGCCGCGCCCUCCCCUCAGCCAGCUGGAUGCACAGCUUUUGGAGCGCUGGUGGCAGCCACUGCUGGACCUGCUGCGGACCUGCCUGCCGCUGGGACCCCGAGCGCUGCCCGCGGGCUUCCCCCUGCACACGGAUAUCCUCGGACUGCUGCUCCUCCACCUGGAACUGAAACGUUGCCUCUUCACCGUGGAGCCGUCGAGGGAUAAAGAACCCUCUCCUGAGCAUCGUCGGCGUCUCCUCCGCUCCUUUUAUACCCUGGUCACUGCCACGCACUUCCCACCAGGUCAGCGGCGGGCACAGUGCCCCCUUUGCAUAGGCUGGGACACAGAGUCCCGGCUCACACAAGGUGUGAGUAAGAAGUGGGCUUGGGGAAACUGGUAGAAGACUCCAAACCAGAAUCAUGAAAUGGGCAUGGCUGUCCGUGAGGACGGCAUGUAAACUGACAGGAAAGGCAGGUAAGGGAGUUCCAAGCCUGUAGGUUUCAGAAUUUCCUGGGUAAUCCUAAUAGUUAAUGCAGACCUCAUCUCUUACCAAGUGCUUCUCUGUUUAUUUACUCACUUCAUCUUCAUAGGCGAGGGUUACCUCCUGUUAAUUAUCAUGCCUAUAUUACAGACGAGGAAAAAGGCUCAGCAAAUACGUAGCAGAGCCACAAUUCAAACACAGGCCGCCUGGCAACCACACCCACACCCUCCAGCUCUACCGCUGAAAAUACUGGCUUUGCCCAUAGUUGGGUGGAGGAGGGGUGGUAGAUUCCAUAGACCCCAGGUCCGAAGAAAAAGUUGUCAUACAGAACCUGUGAGGCCCAAAGCAACAAGGGAAGGGAUCUAGAUUGAUGCUACAACCUCAGCAAAGAUCAUGAUGAAUGUAACAAAAUGGUAAAAAAGGUCCACCUGGGAGGGGCAGACAACUGUCCCUUCCUAGCUGGGUAACUCCACCUCCCCCCACCUGGUGGGGCAGGGUCCUCAAGAGGAGCUCUUCCCUGGAGCCCAGUGCCUGGCACCAGAGCCUGGGCAGCCAGAGAAGGUGGAAGCGGCGGCCCACCGGGCCCAGGUGCCAAGAGCCUGCUACCUGGUGUCAGGGGCUGAGGAGCCAGGCACAGGAUGGCGGCUGGUGGCCCUGCAGUUGGGGC